Molecule: unclassified non-coding RNA, 17 nt
Filed under: Mus musculus (house mouse)
Lineage: Eukaryota; Metazoa; Chordata; Mammalia; Rodentia; Muridae
Description: oocyte_clustered_small_RNA12434
Source: RNAcentral
AGCUGCAUAUGUUUGGC